RNAcentral lists this long non-coding RNA (868 nucleotides) under Homo sapiens (human). Its description in RNAcentral is "HSALNT0135085". The record is from RNAcentral. Lineage: Eukaryota; Metazoa; Chordata; Mammalia; Primates; Hominidae.
UAGACAGAGGAUGAAAUGCAGUAGUUCACCAACAUGUUAUGUUUCUAUGAACAACCAGAUGCAAACGUCCUGGCAUUCAUCCUGCCUGCUUGCUGUUUGUACCAUCUCCGUGGUAGCAACCAUCCAAGCUGCUGGAAGCACAGACUGAGCUCUAUGAGUCAAUUAUUUUAUAUACCUGGGAACGUGCUAGCCUUCCUGUCACUCUUUGAUGUCACUAUGUAGACAGUUUGCAGCCUAGGCAACAUGGAUACAGAAUGUGAUUUCUUUCUCCAUCAUUUCCAUCUGACUAUCAUCUGGGAGAACACACAGCUGCUCCACAUCUGGUGCAACACAGGCAGAUGUAGCUGUCCAGAGGGAGAAGAGUGUUUGCUUUUCUCCACCUAAACACUGACCCUCUUCUGCUUAGAUUCAAAGACUGUCUUCCUUCUGCAGGUUUACCUGAGCCUGGACUCAAAGAAUUACCUUCAUUAUGAGGAAAAAGUGAAACACUUCACUCAGGGCGCAGAACAAUGGAAGUCCCUGGAAGGAAAGGCUUGCAAGAGAAAACCAAGUGGCUUCUGAGAUAUUCGAAAGUCCAGUUGUUUUCCCUUUUUAAAAAUUUUCAGAUGCUCUUUGAUGCCAUUUCAUAAAGCCUGUGAUUGGGCCAAAAGUCUUAGUUCACCAUGUACCACAAAUAGUGUACUCUAUAUAGCAUAUGCUUAACUAAGAAAAAAUAAAGAUUUAGAAAUAGAUCCCUAAAGCACUGGAAAUGGUUGGCCCUGAAGUGCUCCUAAGGUAACCGCAAGAUGAGGCAAAACAGGAUUGAGAUGAAAACCAAGCUCACCCACAUCCUACGUCAAUUAGCUAUUUUUUUUUCUGUGUAAACAAU